CCUACGGGUGACUGCAGUGAGGAAUAUUGGUCAAUGGACGAGAGUCUGAACCAGCCAAGUAGCGUGAAGGAUGACUGCCCUAUGGGUUGUAAACUUCUUUUAUAUGGGAAUAAAAUGUUCCACGUGUGGGAUUUUGUAUGUACCAUAUGAAUAAGGAUCGGCUAACUCCGUGCCAGCAGCCGCGGUAAUACGGAGGAUCCGAGCGUUAUCCGGAUUUAUUGGGUUUAAAGGGAGCGUAGGUGGAGUGUUAAGUCAGUUGUGAAAGUUUGCGGCUCAACCGUAAAAUUGCAGUUGAAACUGGCAGUCUUGAGUACAGUAGAGGUGUGCGGAAUUCGUGGUGUAGCGGUGAAAUGCUUAGAUAUCACGAAGAACUCCGAUUGCGAAGGCAGUUCACUGGACUGCAACUGACACUGAGGCUCGAAAGUGUGGGUAUCAAACAGGAUUAGAUACCCUUGUAGUC
Molecule: ribosomal RNA, 460 nt
Filed under: uncultured bacterium
Lineage: Bacteria
Description: partial 16S ribosomal RNA
Rfam family: Bacterial small subunit ribosomal RNA
Source: RNAcentral